CAAUAGCGUAUAUUAAAGUUGUUGCAGUUAAAAAGCUCGUAGUUGGAUUUGUGGCGUACGGUGGGUUCCGGGCACUUGUUGUCUGAGUAACUUGCUGUUGCCAUCCUUGGGUGGAACCUGUGUGGCAUUAGGUUGUCGUGCAGGGGAUGCCCAUCAUUUACUGUGAAAAAAUUAGAGUGUUCAAAGCAGGCUUAUGCCGUUGAAUAUAUUAGCAUGGAAUAAUUAGAUAGGACUUUUUUGCUAUUUUGUUGGUUUGCGCAAAGAGGUAAUGAUUAAUAGGGACAGUUGGGGGUAUUCGUAUUCCAUUGUCAGAGGUGAAAUUCUUGGAUUUUUGGAAGACGAACUACUGCGAAAGCAUUUACCAAGGAUGUUUUCAUUAA
RNAcentral lists this ribosomal RNA (380 nucleotides) under uncultured eukaryote. Its description in RNAcentral is "partial 18S ribosomal RNA". It matches the Rfam family "Eukaryotic small subunit ribosomal RNA", at positions 592 to 976 of the family's 1831-position model. The record is from RNAcentral.